UAGAUGUUGGAGCUUGUGAAGUCACAAGAGUCUUUAUCGACACUGGUAGCUCAGUCGCCACAUAUUCAAGGAUACACUUGAAAAGAUGGGAGUCGGUCUCCAAGAUAUGAAAACCUUCAACUCGUUCAUUAAACGGUUUCAACUCAGUAUAGUACUCACAUCGUCCUGAUGAACAUAUGCAUUGAGUAAAUCCAGGUUCCAAGACAGAUCAACUGGAUUAAUGAGAUCCUCCACCUUAAGUAAUGGAUUCAAAAAUUGAUUAGAAAAUUUUAGGGUUGCUGACCUCGGGCGAGGAGCGGGGUCCAAGGAUCAUUCCAGACUGAAAUGCUUGAACCUAUUCUCACUCUUUUGAUUAGCCCUUUAUUAACCAGAGAUCUAUUGGAUGUUAUACUUCUCCAUCCAUACGAGAGAGAGUAUGAUCUGAUAGGAUCCAAAGGAUCUGAAUUUCGAUAGUAUCGUCCUUUGAAAACUCUUGCAAAAAGCGAAUUAGGUUUAUCAAUUAAAUGCCAUAGCUGUUUCGCUAAUAAAGCCGUAUUAAAAUUCUGAAUAUCUCUAAAACCUAUGCCCCCUUCAGCUUUAUCCUUACACAACUUGUCCCACGAAAACCAAUGCUUACCUUUUGAAUUACCGCUGCCACCCCACCAAAAAUGAGCAACUGUACCCGUAAGUUUCUUAGUCACUGUUCACGGUAAACGGAAGCAAGACAUCACAUGAGUUGGCAUGGGAGAUGCUACUGAUUUGAUUAAAACCUCCUUACCACCCUUUGUAAUCAAUCAGAGAGUCCAAUGAUUAACUUUAUUAUUAACCCUUUCAUUAAGAAAACCAAAAACCUGUGUUUUAGAGCCACCAAAACUCUCUGAGAUCUCCAAAUAUGUUCUCAUACCACCUAGUGUAGUGAUACCCAAUACCUAUUGUAUCUCCAACUUUCUUCAGUCUUUUCUAUAUAGUAUCUUCUGUACCAGACAUAGUUAUGUACGAAAGCAUUAAAUGAAAGGGUGUACUCUAUUUUAGCACCACUACCCCAACUGUCAUUAUCUUUAUCUUCUCGUUUACCAAUAUCAAAAUUUUGGACAUGUAACGAGCACGAAUUUCUUACAACUAUCAAAAUUUUACAUGGACUAUUUUAAAUUGAUAUUAUUUCCUAUGGGCGUGUAAUCAAAUCAUCAAAAUAAAUACAUUAUAAAUCUUACAUUUUAUUUUCAAUUUAAAAUGUUUGACCAACAAAAAAAAAUCAAUUUAAACUAAAUUAUUUUUCUUUGUUUGUUUCAUUUGAAAUCAUAUAUUUGUUUAACCUUUAAAAAUGUGUUAAAUGUAAUGUUUCACUGUAUUGUAAUUGUUAAUUGUCAUUGUUAGUUCUGCUUUGACUUUGACAAUAAGUGGAAUGCAUUUUAAUACUUUUUAGGACUUUGGCAAUCUAUAUCUAUACUAUACUAAAAGGAGAAUAAGAUCACCAUUUAGCCUGUCCACGUAGGAUCAGAAAUUCAAGCCAAUCAAAUUGUCUUAAGAUGCCAUGUCAGAUUAGUAAAAAAAAACAAAUACGAUGGCUAAUCCUUCUUUUCUCCUGCGCCUUUCCAAUGUCUCUAUCCAGCUUCUCAGUUCGAAGUUUUCUCCAUUAAUUUGUCCAACUUUCUGUAAACAAGUGGAUCUCUUAAAAAUAUCCCUCAUUCUAGAUUGAGGUGUAACCUGAGCUCCAAAAAGAGUUGUUUCAUCUUCUUCCUUAUCCAUCCGCAGAGAUACCGGUUACAGAUUAACCCUCUUCAAUUAUUUCUUAAAUACAUACACCAUGAUCUCUUACUCCACUGUUCUUGAAGGCCUGCCGUUGUAACUUCCUAAAAGAUGAAGAUUUCAUUAGCCAACCUCAAUUAGGGUUAUCUCCUAAAUAUCUUCAAUCCUUAUGAUGACUCAUGCAGACAAAAUUGAUUAGGCAUUCCAAAGGUGAGGAAAUCUAAACCUGAUUUCAUACUCCCGUGCUAACAACAACAUUGAUCCCUCCAAGGAGAGUUAGGUCCUUCAAGCUUUAU
Molecule: long non-coding RNA, 2021 nt
Organism: Brassica rapa (field mustard)
Lineage: Eukaryota; Viridiplantae; Streptophyta; Magnoliopsida; Brassicales; Brassicaceae
Source: RefSeq, a predicted model, not a curated record